GAUGAACGCUAGCGGCAGGCCUAACACAUGCAAGUCGAGGGGCAGCACAAAAGGUAGCUUGCUAUCUUUGGUGGCGACCGGCGCACGGGUGCGUAACAGGUGUGCAAUCUGUCCUAUACCAGGGCAUAGCCCAGCGAAAGUUGGAUUAAUUCUCUAUGUGAGCCGAGAGGGCAUCCUUUUGGUUUGAAACGUGAGGGUAUAGGGUGAGCACGCUUCUGAUUAGCUAGUUGGUGAGGUAACGGCUCACCAAGGCGACGAUCAGUAGGGGUUCUGAGAGGAAGGUCCCCCACACUGGAACUGAGACACGGUCCAGACUCCUACGGGAGGCAGCAGUGAGGAAUAUUGGUCAAUGGGCGAGAGCCUGAACCAGCCAAGUAGCGUGAAGGAAGACUGCCCUAUGGGUUGUAAACUUCUUUUGUUCGGGAAUAAAGUGCAGUACGCGUACUGUUUUGUAUGUACCGUUCGAAUAAGCAUCGGCUAAUUCCGUGCCAG
Molecule: ribosomal RNA, 492 nt
Filed under: uncultured bacterium
Lineage: Bacteria
Description: bacterial SSU rRNA
Rfam family: Bacterial small subunit ribosomal RNA
Source: RNAcentral